RNAcentral lists this long non-coding RNA (402 nucleotides) under Vombatus ursinus (common wombat). Its description in RNAcentral is "lncRNA (ENSVURG00010018848.1)". The record is from RNAcentral. Lineage: Eukaryota; Metazoa; Chordata; Mammalia; Diprotodontia; Vombatidae.
UUUUUUGGUAACUGAUGGAUAAUUUAUAUGUUUUUGAUUUGUGUUUUUUGCAGAGGCAGUUAAGUCUAGUAGAAUAUCAGACUGGGAAUACUAGACUGCCCCACUGCCAUUCACUCCAUUUAUCUGUAUCCCUUUCUGAGCUAAUACUGAGAAAUGAUUUGGAAGGAGCCUGGGACUGAAAGCUGUGGUGACUAGUAUGGAUUCUUCAAUGACUUAACUCUUCAUGGCAACUUACUGGAAUAGCAGAGGCAACUUAAAGUGGCAGGCUGAGAAAGUGUGUGUGUCUUUGUUUGUGUGCGCGUAUGUAUAUUUAAUACUACGUACAGCUAGACAUAUAUAUCUACAUAAGGAUAUAUACAUACACACACAUUUACAGUAAUAUAUGCACUCACUUUGGCCCCC